UACGAAGGGGGCUAGCGUUGCUCGGAAUCACUGGGCGUAAAGCGCACGUAGGCGGCUUUUUAAGUCAGGGGUGAAAUCCUGGAGCUCAACUCCAGAACUGCCUUUGAUACUGAGAAGCUUGAGUCCGGGAGAGGUGAGUGGAACUGCGAGUGUAGAGGUGAAAUUCGUAGAUAUUCGCAAGAACACCAGUGGCGAAGGCGGCUCACUGGCCCGGUACUGAUGCUGAGGUGCGAAAGCGUGGGGAGCAAACAGG
RNAcentral lists this ribosomal RNA (253 nucleotides) under uncultured bacterium. RNAcentral's name for it is "partial 16S ribosomal RNA". It matches the Rfam family "Bacterial small subunit ribosomal RNA", at positions 524 to 776 of the family's 1533-position model. The record is from RNAcentral.